This is an RNA transcript of Amphibalanus amphitrite, 4103 nucleotides long. It is a transcript of the gene named protein argonaute-2-like, with no coding region annotated. NCBI's taxonomy places the organism in Eukaryota, Metazoa, Arthropoda, Thecostraca, Balanomorpha, Balanidae. The record is from RefSeq and is a predicted model, not a curated record. The transcript has 8 exons.
AAUCGUUGAUUUGUUUGUUGGUGUUGAGCUGCACUAGCAGUGUUUUUAUAUACCUGGCACUAGCAUGCACUAGAGUGGUGAAAGGUAAAAGGCCUCGCCCGAAGAAAGUCGUAUCCCCGUUUUGAAUAUGGGAAGAAAGAAGCCUCGCAAGAAGCCGACGGCAGCGGCGACGGCGGCCGCCCAGGCUGCGGCCCAGUCGCCGGCCGGGGACGGCGCCACGGGUGGUGAUUCUCCCGCCGCCUCAGAGCCGACACCUGCCCCAGCCCCGGCGCCAACUCCAGCUCCAGCGCCGGCCGCUGCACCUGCCGCAGCACCAGCCCCAGCACCGGCUGCAACACCGGCGCCGGCCGCAGCACCGGCUGCAACACCGGCGCUGGCCGCAGCACCGGCUGCAACACCGGCACCGGCCGCAGCACCGGCGCCAAAGUCCUCUUCAACUCCAAGUUCAUCGGGGACAUCGACACCGGCAUCUACGCCUAGGCCGACUCCGGCACCGACGCCCACGCCGACGGCACCACCCGGGCUGACUGUGGGUGCGGGCCGGGGCAGAGGCAGGGGUCGUGGCGCAGCCCCGAGAGGCGCGAGAGCCCAGGACUCUCGGCCACAGGCGGCCCAGCAGCCCCAGUCGCCGCCGCCGCCGCAGCUGAAGUCACCUCCGCCGCAGCAGGGGGGCCCGGCCGGCGAUGUUACACGGCAGAUGGCUGACAUGUCCGUGGCGGAGACGAAAAAGGCCGCAGAGAGUGUGUUCCAGCCGGCGCCCUCGGAGAAGAGCAUCUGCAAGCUGCAGCCACCCAAGAGCAAGGGCCCAGGGAGGAUGGGUCGCCCGAUAAAGCUGCUCACCAACCAUUUCAACUUGAGCAUCAAGUGCAGAGAAGUGUACCACUAUGAUGUAGAGUUCGAGAAGAGGAUGCCCAAAACUGUGAAGCGCCGUAUCUUCGAUAAGGCAAUGAAAGAGAACGCACAGUUUGGGAAGUACUUUCCUGUAUUUGAUGGCGAGAAGAAUAUGUACACGGCCCGUCAGCUGCCUCUGAAAGGCAAACAGGUGGAUAUGACGGUGUCGUUUCAGGAGGCGGGCGACCUGGCUCGCGACUAUAAGCUGACGGUGAAGGCGGCCGACCCCUGCCAGGUGGACAUCGAGCCGCUGAUGCAGUACCUGGUCGGCGGCAGCUCCAACAACACGCCGCAGGCGGCCGUGCUGGCGCUGGACAUUGUGCUGCGCCACCUGCCCAGCCUGCGCUUCACACCGGUCGGCCGCUCCUUCUUCCCGGACCAGGGCGGCCGGACCAUCGACAUCGGCGGCGGCUGCGAGCUCUGGAUCGGAUACUUCUCCACCAUCCGCUGCGGCUGGAAACAGACGCGCAUCAACAUCGACGUGGCCAACAAGGCCUUCCACAAGCCAAUACACGUCAUGGAUAAGAUGUAUGAGAUCAUCGGGGACCGGUUUGACCCUGCCCGAGGUCUGAAUCCAAUGCAGUUCCAGGAGGUGAACAAACAACUGGCCAACCUGAAGGUGGAGUACACACGAGGCAACCAGGGGAAGCGCUCCUACCGCAUCAACAAGAUGGUGCGCGACACGCCCAGAACGCACAAGUUCGACCACAAUGGCAGACAGAUGACUGUGGAGCAGUUCUUCUCCAAGGAGUACGGUGUCCAGCUGCAGUACCCCAACCUGCCGUGCCUCUGGGUCGGCUCCAAGAACAAGAAGAUUUACAUCCCAGCGGAGGUUUGCACGGUGGUGAAGGGCCAGGUGAACAACCACAAGCUGAGUCCAGACCAGGUGUCCACAAUGAUCAAGACCACGGCCGCCCCGGCAGACGUCCGUCUGAACCGCAUCAGGGAGUUCGUGCGCCAGGCCGACUUCAACCGGGACCCACACAACCGCGAGUUCGGCCUCCAGGUGGCCGACACGCCGACAGAGGUGACUGGUCGCAUUCUGCCGGCGCCGACCCUGCUCUACAACAACCAGGGCAGAGUGCAGCCGCGCGAUGGCGUCUGGGACCUGCGCGGCAGCCGAUUUCUGGACCCGCACCACCUGGAGCGCUGGGUGGUGCUCGACUACGCGCGCACCUACAACGACAAGCUGCAGAACUUCCUGCGCGGCCUGGCCGACUCGGGACGCCAGGUGGGUAUGAAUAUCGCCCAGCCGGUUGGCGUGGUACAGAGGGACGGCCGCUUCCCGGAGCGCGUGGACGCCGUCCGCGACCUGAGCGAGAUCAAGAAGCAGUACAACUCGCCGCAGCUGGUGCUGGUCAUCCUGCCGGCCAAGAACAAGCUGUACAGCGCCGUGAAGGGCGCAGGGGACGUGGUGGUCGGUCAGCUGACCUCGUGCGUCCUCUCCAAGACGGUAUUCAGGGGAGAUCGGCAGACAGCCACCAACAUCUGCCAGAAAAUCAACGCCAAAAUGGGUGGCUCCAACAACGGCCUGCACGAGAGCACUCGGCCGCCGAUGCUGCGCGUGCCGACCAUCGUGUUUGGAGCGGAUGUGACCCACCCGGCCCCGGACCAGAAGAACAAGCCCAGUAUCGCCGCCGUGGUGGCCAGCAUGGACGCCUCGUUCCACGCGCGCUACGGGCACCGCGUGCUGGUGCAGUACCCGGAGGAGGGCCAGGGUGCCCAAGAACUGAUCGCCGACCUCGGCACCGCUGUAAAAGAGCUACUGAUCGAGUUCUACAAGAUGAACAACCGAGUCAAGCCGCAGCAGAUAGUUUUCUUCCGUGAUGGAGUGAGCGAGGGCCAAUUCCUGCAGGUCAUCCAGUAUGAGCUGGAACAGAUCAAGGAGGCGUGCAGAAAGCUGGAGGCCAACUACCAGCCCAAGAUCACGCUGCUGGUCGUGCAGAAGCGUCACCACACGCGCCUGUUUGCGCAGGACCUGCGCGAGGCCAAGGGCAAGUCGAAGAACGUGCCUCCUGGCACGGUGGUGGACUCGGUGAUCGCACACCCCACCGAGCUGGACUACUUCCUGGUCAGCCACCAGGGCAUCCAGGGCACCAGUCGACCGACCCACUACCACAUUCUUCACGACGACAGCAACUUUACGGCCGACGAGCUGGAGAUCCUUACCUACUACAUGUGCCACCUGUUCUCGCGGUGCACGCGCUCCGUGAGCAACCCGGCGCCCUCCUACUACGCCCACCUAGCCGCCUUCCGGGCGCGUGCGCACCACGACAACUUCUUGGCCGUCAACAACAUCGCCGAGGACCGCCGACCGCCGCUCGCGGACGCCCAGAGAGCCUGCACACCGCAGACGGUGCCCAUGUACUACGUGUAGAGGCCCCGGGGCGCGGGCACGGCCGGCGCGGGCUGGGCGCAGUAGCCACAGCCGUCCGACUCCUGUAGGCUAGCGGCUGGUGACUGCCAGAUCGCACUGCCAGGCGUAGUGGGUGGUGGCUUUAGCUUUUGUAGUGCACUCUUGGCAGCUCUGCCGUCCAAAGGCAAAACCGCAUAUGUCGGGUCAGGUCAUGACCCGACAUAUGCGUUUUUGCCUUUGGACGGCAGAGCUAUCACAGACAGAGGUUCUCAAGUAUUUAAUCAUCUGUUUAGAGGGCUUUUUACUUUUCUUGCUGCUUUGGUAAACAGGGUCCUAUGGCAAGAGGUAUGAAUAAUAUGUAAUCCUGCUUACAUAAAGUUAAAGCGUUACGUUUACACGCAGCAUCAGUAAUUUCUAAGCACCCGGUUGAGACGCGCCAAAUUCAUCAGAUUGCUUAGUCCCGUCCCAGCUGGCGGGACGCCGAACUGAUUUCGUCUCCGCGGGGUGCUGCCCUCGCACGCCCCGGAGGACGCGAGUGACGACCACUGGCUGCACGCUCAUGGCUGGGCCAUGACGUGCGCGCUGCACGGGCUCCGCGGGCCGUCCGGCGGUGCGCCGGCCGGGCGGCCUCUGCGCCGCGCGCGCUGGCUAUCUGAGGAGCGCCGCGCCAACGGUGCCCCGCGCUCUGUCGGCGGGUUGGCGCCGCGCUCCGAAUUUCCGGCCGCGUGGUCGUGGGUUGAGAAUCGGGCGUCCGCUGUUGCACGAUCAGCUUCUGUGUGCGUCUGUCGCUCUUCAUAGGUUUGUGGACUGAUUUUUUCCUGCUGGCUUUCUGGAUCAAAUACACGAGCUCUACGUG